CCGUAGGUGAACCUGCGGAGGGAUCAUUACAGAGUUCAUGCCCUACCGGGUAGAUCUCCCACCCUAUGUUAUUAUUACUUUGUUGCUUUGGCGGGCCGUUAGGCUCCGGCCCGACUACCGGCCCCGGCUGGUAAGCGCCCGCCAGAGGACCCAAAACCCUGAAUAUUAGUGUCGUCUGAGUACUAUAUAAUAGUUAAAACUUUCAACAACGGAUCUCUUGGUUCUG
RNAcentral lists this unclassified non-coding RNA (226 nucleotides) under plant metagenome. Its description in RNAcentral is "partial contains small subunit ribosomal RNA, internal transcribed spacer 1, and 5.8S ribosomal RNA". The record is from RNAcentral.